This 466-nucleotide ribosomal RNA is filed under the name uncultured bacterium. Its description in RNAcentral is "partial 16S ribosomal RNA". It matches the Rfam family "Bacterial small subunit ribosomal RNA", at positions 28 to 507 of the family's 1533-position model. The record is from RNAcentral.
GAUGAACGCUGGCGGCGUGCUUAACACAUGCAAGUCGAACGGAAAGGCCCAAGCUUGCUUGGGUACUCGAGUGGCGAACGGGUGAGUAACACGUGGGUGAUCUGCCCUGCACUUCGGGAUAAGCCUGGGAAACUGGGUCUAAUACCGGAUAGGACCACAUUUUGGAUGGUGUGGUGGAAAGUUUUUCGGUGUGGGAUGAGCUCGCGGCCUAUCAGCUUGUUGGUGGGGUAAUGGCCUACCAAGGCGUCGACGGGUAGCCGGCCUGAGAGGGUGUACGGCCACAUUGGGACUGAGAUACGGCCCAGACUCCUACGGGAGGCAGCAGGGGGGAAUAUUGCACAAGGGGCGCAAGCCUGAUGCAGCGACGCCGCGGGGGGGAGGACGGCCUUCGGGUUGUAAACUCCUUUCGCUAGGGACGAAGCGUUAUGUGACGGUACCUGGAGAAGAAGCACCGGCUAACUACGUG